CAACCUCAACUCAUAUGGGACUACCCCCUGAAUUUAAGCAUAUUAAUUAGGGGAGGAAAAGAAACUAACAAGGAUUUUCUUAGUAGCGGCGAGCGAAAAGAAAACAGUUCAGCACUAAGUCACUUUGUCUAUAUGGCAAAUGUGAGAUGCAGUGUAUGGAGCGUCAAUAUUCUAGUAUGAGAAAUUAAUGAUUUAAGUCCUUCUUAAAUGAGGCCAUUUACCCAUAGAGGGUGCCAGGCCCGUAUAACGUUAAUGAUUGCUAGAUGAUGUUUCCAAAGAGUCGUGUUGCUUGAUAGUGCAGCACUAAGUGGGUGGUAAACUCCAUCUAAAACUAAAUAUAACCAUGAGACCGAUAGUAAACAAGUACCGUGAGGGAAAGUUGAAAAGAACUCUGAAUAGAGAGUUAAACAGUACGUGAAACUGCUUAGAGGUUAAGCCCGAUGAACCUGAAUAUCCGUUAUGGAAAAUUCAUCAUUAAAAUUGUAAUAUUUAAAUAAUAUUAUUAAGAAUAAUGUGCAUUUUUUCCAUAUAAGGACAUUGUAAUCUAUUAGCAUAUCCCAAAUUUAUCAUAAAAUAUAACUUAUAGUUUAUUCCAAUUAAAUUGCUUGCAUUUUAACACAGAAUAAAUGUUAUUAAUUUGAUAAAGUGCUGAUAGAUUUAUAUUAUUACAGAGCGUUAAUUUUUCGGAAUUAUAUAAUGGCAUAAUUAUAAUGUAUUUUUGUGUUUAUUAUAUGCUCUUGUAUGAUUAACAAUGC
This 755-nucleotide non-coding RNA is filed under the name Drosophila sechellia. RNAcentral describes it as "Eukaryotic large subunit ribosomal RNA". It matches the Rfam family "Eukaryotic large subunit ribosomal RNA", at positions 1 to 632 of the family's 3401-position model. Lineage: Eukaryota; Metazoa; Arthropoda; Insecta; Diptera; Drosophilidae. The record is from Rfam by way of RNAcentral.